GUCCACGCUGUAAACGAUGGAUACUAGGUGUGGGAGGUAUCAACUCCUUCCGUGCCGGAGUUAACACAAUAAGUAUCCCACCUGGGGAGUACGGCCGCAAGGUUGAAACUCAAAGGAAUUGACGGGGCCCGCACAAGCAGUGGAGUAUGUGGUUUAAUUCGAAGCAACGCGAAGAACCUUACCAGGGCUUGACAUACACUUGAUCGCUGUAGAAAUACAGCUUCCCUUCGGGGGCAAGUGUACAGGUGGUGCAUGGUUGUCGU
RNAcentral lists this ribosomal RNA (263 nucleotides) under uncultured bacterium. Its description in RNAcentral is "partial 16S ribosomal RNA". It matches the Rfam family "Bacterial small subunit ribosomal RNA", at positions 793 to 1055 of the family's 1533-position model. The record is from RNAcentral.